RNAcentral lists this long non-coding RNA (560 nucleotides) under Phasianus colchicus (ring-necked pheasant). RNAcentral's name for it is "lncRNA (ENSPCLG00000006224.1)". The record is from RNAcentral. Lineage: Eukaryota; Metazoa; Chordata; Aves; Galliformes; Phasianidae.
ACUGACACUGUACACAUGACAGUUUAAGACCUGGUCACAUGUUUGUGCUUGGCAAGGAGGUUUUUGUCAGGAGAUCAUCCUAUCUCUUCUUAUGCAUGCUUAGAACAUGGGAAAAGCAAAGUUGGUGCACCACUGUCCUUUGCUUGUUAAAUUGAGGUUACUUGGCCGUGACUCUGAGCCCAUAGAUGUGCAGUGCAGUAAUCUGGACUUAGACAUUUGGAAGGUGGGAUUUCCCAUAGAGCCUCCAUGACUGGGAAUGGGAAACAGAACCAUGGCUAAGGGGAGGGAUGAGGACAGAGUGCAGGUACCAUUCUGUGCCAUCUAGAGGAUGCAUCUCCCUUUGUUCUCUUACUGCAGUCAGCUUCUAUAGCAUUGACAUGAACUUUUCACUCUUCUACACAACUGAGAGAGCUCCUGAUUACUAUGAUGCAAGGAAGCUUAUAGAAAACUGGUUUAGUGUCAUAUUUGCAGGUGAAGAACUAGUUGUGACAAACUUUAAAAUCAGGGUUAACUCUCCACAAAGCAGUGCGUACAAGAGGACCCGUGUAUGUAACUUGUUA